UAACAAUUGUGACCAAAACCUGAAGUCCCAAUUCCUAUUUAAUAUUAAGACUUUGAAAAAAAAAUGAGGUGCAUGAAAGCAAGAAGAUUUUUUUUGAUCCUUCCAGGUAUACUUAUAAACAAUGAUUCUAUUAUUUGAGUAAUUUAAUCAAGUUUAAAAGUGGUACUAGCACCAGGAGAAUAUUAAGACAAUACCUAUGAAGUCUUUGAAGAUAAAUAUAGCUGCAGAAUUUCCUUUUCACAGUUGUCUCUCAUCUGUUUCAUUUUACUGCCCUAGCCACAAGAGGAUUUUGCCAUUUUGGAGUGAUUCUUCACAAUGUCCAGACAGAUACUCUUUUAUAAUCCCUACUGCUGGAUCCCCAGUUUUGGGCUGAACGAAGCACAGAGCACAUCUCUGAUCAUGGACAAAGCUCACGUAGAUGAUGAAUGCACCUCAUCCUGUGUCCACAUCAGCUGCCCACAACUCCUGCUGCCUGCGUCCACAUUUCCCUCACUGCAGGGAGCUUGUGCGUUUACUGUGGUCAUGAAGGUACUUCAAAGGCAAACACAGGCAACUCUUGAAAUGUGGAUGAUGAACACACGCUGGACAGAAAAAAACAACAAUUCCUGCAGAGGGGCAUAGCAUCAUUGACUUGUUUUCAGCUGUUCCUGACUGCUGGUGAUUUCUGCCUCUCCUAACCUUUAAGAAGCCUAAAGCAGAGAAGCAAUUCUCCUGUUUACUCAAGCUAUAGUGGCUUCCCCCCCUCUUCUUGAAAAGUGGGAAUUAUCUCAGAGUGACAACCUUUUGCAUUAUUGUAAAAACUUGUCUUGUGCAAAGGCAUGUGUGUUGAGCGAUCAGACAGGGCACGAGGACGUGUUUGGAGCACCUCCAGCACUCAAACAAUCCUAUUUUGCUUUUAUCAUACCACACAGCGAUUAUCAGCCUUGAAGCCACUGCUUCCCUUGGGAGUGAUAUCCCAGGAGACAUUCUUCAAGGAUUGUCAUAAAAACACCAUCCUUCAGCCCCACUAGAGUGUGACAAAAUGCAGUUAUGUUAGUUUGUUAGUUUUUUUUUUUUUAUUUUCCUUUUGUUUUAUUUGUCUCUCUCUAAUACAUUAAUUUUCCAAAGCUGCUAUAAUGAAAGCUUUAAAGAGAAGGCCAAAUAUGUGGAAGGAAAAGUAGUCAAAAUGUUUGAUUUAAAAAAAAAAAGGAAAAUGCAAAAUAUUCAUGAAAAAUGGAAAACAUCUCUAUUUUGUUCAAUAUUUUCACUCGGUUCAUUCCUAAAGGCUCAUCUUCAGCCAUUUUUAAUUCUGUUGGGUUGGGGGGGCAGAAGUCUAUAUUUGUUAUUUUGAUCUUCUCUUUUUUUUUUUUUAAUUAAAAAUGAGAAAUAAUAGGAUUCUGCUCCUCCCUUAUAUUUGCAUUGUGACUUCUAAAUUAAAAGAACUGUAUUAGAAAACAACGGCUUUUCAGCAGUGCACCCUGUUCAUACUGCAAACCUUACAUAACCAGCCAUGACAAAGGGUAGCAAUUAUACAAUGAAAAAUUAGGUAGCCUAUAUACGGUUCCUUACCUGGGGCACAUCAAGAAAAUAUAAAGCAUAAAGGUCUUGCACAAAGCUCCUUGCAAAAGCCAGACUCAAGCAUGAAAGGCCAUAGUUAGAAGAGAGAUGUAGCCUAAAGUAUAGUAACAGGUCUCUCUCAAAUAGGCACGGUCCCUUCACAUCUAUGGACAAUCUCCUUACUCUGAAGUGAUGCUUACUGGUCUGAAAUACCCAGAUUUAUACAGUUUGAGUAAGUUUUCUCUCAUUCUUCAGUUUCCAAGUGAACCUUCUGAAGUGAUGUACAGUAAUUUCUCAGUAAUAAUUACAUUUGAAAUAUUAAUAGAAAGGAAGCUUUGGUUGGACAAAAAAUAAUCCAAAGCUUUGUACCAAAUACCCACUCAGGCAAGGGAACGGAGGGCACAGUUUGUCCCAGCCUAUACCUCCUUGCGGACUGGGAAUGGUGGUGGACUAGGCUGCCCACAUCCUCCCAGCUGCAGCCCCCCACCACAACCCUGCUGUAGGCUCCCAUCUGUCAAGUGCAAAAUUGUGGAUUUACAGUUGCUUUGUGGCGUCCCCUAGAAAAGUGUGGGUGCAGGGCUGCGGGACCAUGGAGGGAUGGCAAGGGCGAGAGGUCUUCGUAUCAGAGCAUGAAAUGAUAGCCAUCCUGUGGGGUCACCAUCCCACUUACAACUGCUAACUAAUUAACAAAUGUUUGCUCUGGUAGUUGAAAGGAUUUAGUGCUUGGUCUUGAAAGCUAUGCGGUAUGUGACUAUGUGGAAUUGAACAUUGAUAAAAGCAACCCUGAAAUCUCUACAGCCUAGUUAUUAGAGGAUUGUGAAGAGGUCUACAGAAUUAUCCUCAAUGACCUGGAGGGUGUCUUAGAAAUCACCUUGAACAUGAAAGAGAAGAUGUGCCUUCCCUGCAUGUGCCUCGGAACCUCAGGGGCAGCUGCCCAGCAAGCAUAUCUGGUCACUGUUGAUUUCUACUGCUUUGUGUGCACAAGGCAGAGACUUUCACACCACCACCACGCUCCCGACUGAAGCUCAAACCAUUCUGCUCAGCUUCAGGGUCCUCCCCUCCACCUCUUCCUAACCUGGCCAAGCCCUUACUCCAGGACAAUGCUGGCAGCAGGAUUACUGCUUUCCCUGCCCACGUGUCUGUGGGACCUUUACUUCCCCCAGCACAACUUAACCUCACCAUGAAGCUUAUACGGCAUGCAGCUGGGUAAAAAUAGCAUGCCAGAAAGUAAACACAGCAAUUCCUCAGCCUUCCUCUGCUGAAGCCUCUUUCGGUUCCUCAUUUUGCUCUUAUGUUAUCAUAUUUUCCAUGUUAUAACAACAGCCCGUCACAUGUCCCUAUUUUUUUGUUUUGUUUUGGUAUGGAAAGGUUUGAGGAAAGGUUUGAGGAGUUUUGAGUGACAAAUUGUCAUUAUUUUUCAAUAUUGUACUUUUAUUCAUUAAGAACAAAAUGAUUCUGUAAUGACUUCAAACCAAACUUUGAUUAAAAAGUUAUAAAAAAGGU
Molecule: long non-coding RNA, 3039 nt
Organism: Cairina moschata (Muscovy duck)
Lineage: Eukaryota; Metazoa; Chordata; Aves; Anseriformes; Anatidae
Source: Ensembl